GGAAGGGUGGCCGAGUGGCUUAAGGCGCUCGCUUGGAAAGCGUGUGUACCGAAAGGUACCGUGGGUUCAAAUCCCACCCCUUCCG
This 85-nucleotide transfer RNA is filed under the name candidate division WOR-1 bacterium RIFCSPHIGHO2_01_FULL_53_15. Its description in RNAcentral is "tRNA-Ser". It matches the Rfam family "tRNA". Rfam says of the family: Transfer RNA (tRNA) molecules are approximately 80 nucleotides in length. Their secondary structure includes four short double-helical elements and three loops (D, anti-codon, and T loops). Lineage: Bacteria; Bacillati. RNAcentral also lists the same sequence under 1 other name. The record is from RNAcentral.